AAAAAACAGAGAAAAGAAUCAAUAGAGGAUUCCAAAUUCCAAAUCUACUCUCUUUAUUAUAUUCUCAUCUCACCUCACCCCAACCCACCCCACCUCAUCCCUAUUAUACCUAUGCUACCAAAUAUAUCUAAUCAUCACUCAGGCCUAAGCCCAACAAUUUUUCUUCCAAAUUCCAAAUUCUAAAUCUACUCUCUUUUUUUAUCUUCUUCUUGUGUGGCAAUUCAGGAAGAGAAGAGAAGAGUGGUGGCUAUUCGGAAAAGAAAGAUGAAAUGUUUUAGUUAGGCCUAAAGUAACCCAUCAAUCAGAAGGAUAAAGAACAAGUUUUUGCUAAUACUAAUGCACUCAGACAUCACUAACAGGAGUGGUAGGAGUAUGGAUUUUGGGAAAUCUUGCAUCUUUUUAAUCAACGAUUUUUCAUUUUCUUCUACUUCUUCUUGUUCUUCUUCUGGGUUUUGUGAUUAUUGUGGUUCUGCAAAAUCACCCUUACCAUCAUCAUCUUCUUCUUCUUCUCUCCACUCCUUGUCUUUUGGAAGUGAAUUUCCAGAGCCCAAUACCAUGGAAUCUGCCAUCAAGCUUUUUACUUCCAAAUUCACUUCUGCUCUUUUGGCUCUUCUUUAAUAUCUCCUUCUCCCUCUCUUUCCACUUGUAUAUUGUAUUUUAUCGCCAGACCUAUCUGACAUUGUUUUCUUGAAGUAAUUCUCUUCUUUCUUUCUCUUUCUCAACAAAAAAUGUUGAGUGCGUCACUUGCCUCCUUGUUUUGUAAUCCGUUAAUGACUUGUAUUGCUGCUUCUUCAACAACUAACCCGGAAAUUCCAUUUGAUCUUCGACCCAUCAGGUAAUUUUUUGUAUUCCCAUUUACCUUUCUAUCUUUCUAUUGCUAUUAGUAAUCAAUUAAUUAUCCUAUAUCAAAGUUGUUGUUUGAUGGACAAAAAUUGUUAGCUUAUAAUAAUAUUGAUGGGUUUGUGUGUGUUUGCUUGUUAAUCCCAUCCUUCUUAAGGUAUGUGUUGAAUUUAAUAAUCCAUACAUAGAGGUGGAAGAAGGAUUUUUGUGGUAAUCAAAAACCCAAAUAUCCCUUUAUUCUUUACACGAUGAUGAUCAUCAUCAGGUAUGAUCAUGAUCAACGUUGGAUGUGGACGAGGAGGAGAAAGACCCUUUUCCCAUGGACAAGGAAUGGGACUGCAAUUGUUUCAGUUUCAGCUUCAGCUUCCUCUCUUUCUACCAAUCAGAUGACAAGGGACUCUUCCCGCCUCAAUGUUUAUCAGGAGGUUUAUUUGUUUUAUCAAUGAACAAAAUUAUUUACUUUUAUGUUUCCCUCUUUUUCGUUGAUACCUUCAUACUGAGUUCUUGUGAAUUUUACCUUACUUGUUAUAGAUUGCACUCUUCCAUUGUGAACUCCUUCUUAUCCUCAUCUUGCUGCUGAAAACAAUUCCCAGGUUGUCAAGUCUGCAAGGGAAAGGUUCACCCGGGAAAUCUCCUUCCAAUCAAAGGACAAAGACAUCUCUCUUGCGAAGGCCUUGCUGUACGUUGCAGCUGAAGAUGAGGCAUUUCUUGCCUUUAAUAAAGAGAUGGAUGCUCGCUCACUCCUAAAUGAAAGGAGAACUGCUUCAGUCCCAAUGGAUGAGCAAGAGUGGGAUUGUCUGGAGCAAAUGCCAUUGGCUGGAAAGAAAAUAACUGAGUGGCUCAGUGAGUUGGAUGCCAUUGCAAGAGAAGUUGAAGCAGAGCUAGUUUCAAGAGACAUAGGCUGCCAUUUGGUUGAAGUUUUGGAUGCUAUAAAUGUAGUUCUUUUUGAGCUAAGAGGAUUCAAAAGGUCACCUGUUGUUGUAGACUCCAAGUAUUCAUACUUGCACACUGUGCUUAGCACUGGAUGUGGCAGUGCAAUUUUGCUUAGCAUAAUUUACAUUGAAGUUUGUAGACGACUCAGUCUGACCAUUGUGGGAUCUCAAGUUGGGGAGGAUUUUUUGAUAUGGCCCCAAACAGGGAAUCUGGAGGAGCUCUUCAAGGUGACUUCAGGGCACAGCUUGUUUGCAAUUGUUAAUGGAAGGUGUGUGGAGGAUCCUAGAUCAAAGGCAUCAGAUUUGACCAGCAACUCACUUUUAGGGCUUGAGAUAGCUACAAAGCGAGAUAUUAUUGGGAUUUCUUUGGCCAAUUUGAUUAGGCUUCACUGGAAACGUGCUUCAAGAUCAAAUCAUGGAUUGAUGCUGACUUCUCCACUUAGGCAUGUUCAUAAUACUGACGACAAACAUAAGAUGAUCCAUAAUUCAAGUGUUCCUUUGCUUCGGCCGAGAGAUCUUAGGCUCGCCAUCAUGGCUUCCGAAAGAUUGCUGAUAUUGCAUCCACAUAAUUGGGCCUUGAGAAGAGAUCAUGGAAUGAUGCUGUACUAUAAUAGGGAAUAUGGAGAGGCAGUGCAAGAGCUUAGCAUAUGUAUGGCCUUAGCUCCAGAAGAAGAGGCAGAAAUUCUAGAACCAUUUGUUGAGAAAUUGCACUUGUUGCGGCUCGAAUCGUCCUGGAGGUCUAUGGAACAUGCAAGUCACCUUAAAGUUCCUUGACCACCUUUAUCUGUAAAUAUCUCAGUAUAGCUUUGUUCUCUGAGCUUUGCGCAAGUACUUGAAUGCUCUCCAAUAAUAUUCAAAUUGCAUGUUUUUGGGCAUACCAUGCAAGGUUCGUGGCAAGCAAGAACUGCCAAGAACUGCCAGGUUAUAUUUGGCAUGACAUAAUCAAAACCUUAAAUGUAAUUGCCUUUACAUUACUUACUUUGAUUGGGUAAAGAAAAUCUAUUGUGAUUGAAUGCAAAUCACAGAGUGCGGAAAUUAUACAAUACUCCUAGAGCAAAUAAAAAUAAUGCUCCUUUUAUCACAAAAGGG
RNAcentral lists this unclassified non-coding RNA (2861 nucleotides) under Hevea brasiliensis (rubber tree). The record is from RNAcentral. Lineage: Eukaryota; Viridiplantae; Streptophyta; Magnoliopsida; Malpighiales; Euphorbiaceae.